Molecule: ribosomal RNA, 252 nt
Filed under: uncultured bacterium
Lineage: Bacteria
Description: partial 16S ribosomal RNA
Rfam family: Bacterial small subunit ribosomal RNA
Source: RNAcentral
UACGUAGGCAGCAAGCGUUGUUCGGAAUUACUGGGCGUAAAGCGCGCGUAGGCGGCUUUGUAAGUUAGAGGUGAAAGCCCAGGGCUUAACCCUGGAAUUGCCUUUAAGACUGCAUCGCUAGAAUCGUGGAGAGGUGAGUGGAAUUCCGAGUGUAGAGGUGAAAUUCGUAGAUAUUCGGAAGAACACCAGUGGCGAAGGCGACUCACUGGACACGUAUUGACGCUGAGGUGCGAAAGCGUGGGGAGCAACAGG